This 480-nucleotide ribosomal RNA is filed under the name uncultured bacterium. Its description in RNAcentral is "bacterial SSU rRNA". It matches the Rfam family "Bacterial small subunit ribosomal RNA", at positions 21 to 518 of the family's 1533-position model. The record is from RNAcentral.
GGCUCAGGACGAACGCUGGCGGCGUGCCUAACACAUGCAAGUCGAGCGAGGAGAUUCCUCGGGAUGAUCCUAGCGGCGGACGGGUGAGUAACACGUGGGCAACCUGCCUCAUAGAGAGGAAUAGCCUUCCGAAAGGGAGAUUAAUACCUCAUAACAUUGCAGUUUCGCAUGGAACAGCAAUUAAAGGAGCAAUCCACUAUGAGAUGGGCCCGCGGCGCAUUAGCUAGUUGGUGAGGUAACGGCUCACCAAGGCGACGAUGCGUAGCCGACCUGAGAGGGUGAUCGGCCACAUUGGGACUGAGACACGGCCCAGACUCCUACGGGAGGCAGCAGUGGGGAAUAUUGCACAAUGGGGGAAACCCUGAUGCAAGCAACGCCGCGUGAGUGAUGACGGCCUUCGGGUUGUAAAGCUCUGUCUUCAGGGACGAUAAUGACGGUACCUGAGGAGGAAGCCACGGCUAACUACGUGCCAGCAGCGGC